ACAAUUUAUUGUUCGUUCGUCGAACGUUUUGAAGAUGCUCGAAAUUGUCUAAAGUUUCUACGAGUCGCGCAAGGACAAUUAACGAGACUUACAGAGAAAACAUGAAAAGAAAGAAUGCGACGAAGUAAAAGGGAUGCAGUAGACAUUACGUGAACAUAGUUCAGAUGAGAUCGAAAGGCUCGCGUCGACGCCAAAGGUUUCUGGCAUCGUUGCAAUCUGUGUGUUCGUUCACCGGCAGGAAUUCUCUUUGGAAUUCCUUUAGGAAAUUGUUACGGGGAAGCACGCUGCUCGUCAGAGUGCAGAUUUUAAAGGACGCUCUGUACAACAGGUCCCGGUCCCGUAGGAUCCCUUCUCUCAAUAAUUAACGCAUGACCUGUUGUCACGUGAAUCACGGAACUAUAACGAACGCGUAUACACGAAUAAACAUUAAAUGACACGACGCAAAAUUACUCAGCCAUCGCGCUGAGACAACAAGUAUCUCUUUCUUGACUCUGAGCUGAUAAACACUACCGUGGCCAAAGAAUGACUUCGUCGUGGCCGGAGAGAGGAAAAUUUCCAUGAACGUCCGGCCUCCUAUUAUUUCCAUCGGAGAGAAUACAGCUACGUACACGACCGUCUAUUUAACUUUUAAAGAAUCACUGCUACGCCAGCUGCGAUUUCACGAGGGCAACUCUAGGCAGCCUUGGGAACCAAUCCGGUACGAUGCGUCUUCGCUAAGCGUUGCGAUUGAUCGAGAAGAGUUCCAAUAUUAAGAUUUUUCGUUCCACACAUCGGCUCAUGCAGAAUAAAAAAAAUGACUGGUGUCGGUGUUAAGGACACUCAUCGCUGGUGUCGAUCAUGUGUUGGAUGACCAACCAAGCCUGGCAAUAUUGGCUCAAUACUUAAAGUGAUCUGUACUUAUUCAUACAGCAAAUUUCGAUUGAAGUACUCUUAAAGUGAUCUGUACUUAUUCAUACAGCAAAUUUCGAUUGAGGUGACUGACAGUCGACUGACGACUGAGUUCAUAAGAUAAUAUUGACUGAUAUUUGAUGAUUAAUUUUCUACUUUGAUUAAAAUGGUAAAAACAUGUUCUUAUCUGAUUAUGUUCCUUUUGACUAUGUCCUUUUUUGUGCUCUUUCUCAUCUGACUGUUCUAUCUUGUGUUCCUUUUU
Frieseomelitta varia is the source of this 1150-nucleotide long non-coding RNA. RefSeq lists it as uncharacterized. The transcript is spliced from 4 exons. The record is from RefSeq and is a predicted model, not a curated record. Lineage: Eukaryota; Metazoa; Arthropoda; Insecta; Hymenoptera; Apidae.